This 482-nucleotide long non-coding RNA is filed under the name Ananas comosus (pineapple). Its description in RNAcentral is "long non-coding RNA (ACOM_LNC037936)". The record is from RNAcentral. Lineage: Eukaryota; Viridiplantae; Streptophyta; Magnoliopsida; Poales; Bromeliaceae.
CCACGCUAUCUGUCACACCUCGGGACUGAUACCAAUUUGGGCCGGCCCGAGCACGUCAAACAGACGCCGAACGGACAAAGUUUCCCCUGUCCGCCCUAAACACGGCUUACACGAGGGUAAACAAUAGCCACGAGUGAAAGGAAAAGGAAACUAAAUAUUCACUUACACUAUGAUUCAUUUUUGAUCAUAUACAUUGCAUUCAUCUUAUACAUUUUCGAAUUCCUUACAUUCAUUACAUCAUUUCAUCAUGUCUUUCUUACAUCACAUUUACCUCAAAUACACAUUACAUUCUUUUCUUUGCAUCAUUUAUCAUCAAGUACAAAGAUGAUCAUAGGGUACUACUAACAAAAUGUACACCCAACUUUGGUGGCCUCUGACUAAGGCGCGAUACCUUUACCUCGGUCGCUCGCCGGCUCGCUCGGUCCCGGCUCUGUAGAAAUAGUGGGGUGAGAACUACAACAAAGUUCCCAGUGGGUUCGGCC